Non-coding RNA from Mycena galericulata, 92 nucleotides. NCBI's taxonomy places the organism in Eukaryota, Fungi, Basidiomycota, Agaricomycetes, Agaricales, Mycenaceae. The record is from the annotation of a GenBank genome assembly.
GACCGUGUUGUGUAAUGGUAGUACAACCCGACUUGAUACAAAUUUGGAUUCUUUCGAUUGGGGUGGUCCUAGUUCGAAUCUGGGCACGGUUG